Nycticebus coucang (slow loris) is the source of this 102-nucleotide small nuclear RNA. The record is from RefSeq and is a predicted model, not a curated record. NCBI's taxonomy places the organism in Eukaryota, Metazoa, Chordata, Mammalia, Primates, Lorisidae.
UGGAUUUACUUUCAAAACUUUCCAGUUCUAAUGAUACAGAGAAGAUUAGCAUGACGCCUGCACAAGGAUGACGCGCAAAUGCGUGACGCAUUCCAUAUUUUU